This 376-nucleotide ribosomal RNA is filed under the name uncultured bacterium. RNAcentral describes it as "bacterial SSU rRNA". It matches the Rfam family "Bacterial small subunit ribosomal RNA", at positions 524 to 898 of the family's 1533-position model. The record is from RNAcentral.
UACGAACCGUCCAAACGUUAUUCGGAUUUAUUGGGCUUAAAGGGUAUGUAGGCGGCCCUUCAAGUCGGGUGUGAAAGCCCUCGGCUCAACCGAGGAACUGCGCCCGAUACUGUGGGGCUCGAGGGAGACAGAGGUAAGCGGAACUGAUGGUGGAGCGGUGAAAUGCGUUGAUAUCAUCAGGAACACCAGUGGCGAAAGCGGCUUACUGGGUCUCUUCUGACGCUGAGAUACGAAAGCUAGGGGAGCGAACGGGAUUAGAUACCCCGGUAGUCCUAGCUGUAAACGAUGAGCACUUGAUCGUGGGGCCCCCCAUAGCCUCUCGGUCGCAGCGAAAGUGGUAAGUGCUCCGCCUGGGGAGUAUGGUCGCAAGGCUGAA